AACGAACGCUGGCGGCACGUUUUAAGCAUGCAAGUCGAAUGGCAGUGGGGGCAACCCCAUGAGAAUGGCGAACGGGUGAGUAACACGUAGGUGAACUGCCUGACGGAUGGGGAUAGCUUGUGGAAACACAGGGUAAUACCGAAUGAGCUGACGAGACUUUGGUUUUGUUAGUAAAGGUGCUACGGCACCGCCGACAGAGGAGCCUGCGGCUGAUUAGCUAGUUGGUGGGGUAAAGGCCUACCAAGGCGACGAGCAGUAGCCGGCCUGAGAGGGUGUACGGCCACACUGGAACUGAGACACGGUCCAGACUCCUUCGGGAGGCAGCAGCUAAGAAUCUUCCGCAAUGGGCGAAAGCCUGACGGAGUGAUGCCGCGUGAUCGAUGAAGGUCGAGAGAUUGUAAAGAUCUUUUCUACAUGAGGAAUAAGUCUGGGAGGGAAUGCCUGGAUGAUGACGUUAGUGUAGGAAUAAGCCCCGGCUAAUUACGUGCCAGCAGCCGCCGUAA
Molecule: ribosomal RNA, 503 nt
Filed under: uncultured bacterium
Lineage: Bacteria
Description: partial 16S ribosomal RNA
Rfam family: Bacterial small subunit ribosomal RNA
Source: RNAcentral